RNAcentral lists this ribosomal RNA (825 nucleotides) under uncultured bacterium. RNAcentral's name for it is "bacterial SSU rRNA". It matches the Rfam family "Bacterial small subunit ribosomal RNA", at positions 11 to 867 of the family's 1533-position model. The record is from RNAcentral.
GUUUGAUCCUGGCUCGAAUGAACGCUGGCGGCAGGCCUAACACAUGCAAGUCGAACGGAGUUAUAUUGUAGCUUGCUAUGGUAUAACUUAGUGGCAGACGGGUGAGUAAUGUAUAGGAAUCUACCUAGUAGUACGGAAUAAUUGUUGGAAACGGCAACUAAUACCGUAUACGCCCUACGGGGGAAAAAUUUAUUGCUAUUAGAUGAGCCUAUAUUAGAUUAGCUAGUUGGUGGAGUAAUAGCCUACCAAGGCAAUGAUCUAUAGCUGAUCUGAGAGGAUGAUCAGCCACACUGGAACUGAGAUACGGUCCAGACUCCUACGGGAGGCAGCAGUGGGGAAUAUUGGACAAUGGGCGAAAGCCUGAUCCAGCCAUGCCGCAUGAGUGAAGAAGGCCUUUGGGUUGUAAAGCUCUUUUAGUGAGGAAGAUAAUGACGGUACUCACAGAAGAAGUCCUGGCUAACUCCGUGCCAGCAGCCGCGGUAAUACGGAGAGGGCUAGCGUUAUUCGGAAUUAUUGGGCGUAAAGGGCGCGUAGGCGGAUUAGUAAGUUAAAAGUGAAAUCCCAAGGCUCAACCUUGGAAUUGCUUUUAAAACUGCUAAUCUAGAGAUUGAAAGAGGAUAGAGGAAUUCCUAGUGUAGAGGUGAAAUUCGUAAAUAUUAGGAGGAACACCAGUGGCGAAGGCGUCUAUCUGGUUCAAAUCUGACGCUGAGGCGCGAAGGCGUGGGGAGCAAACAGGAUUAGAUACCCUGGUAGUCCACGCUGUAAACGAUGAAUGUUAAAUAUGGGAAGUUUUACUUUCUGUAUUACAGCUAACGCGUUAAACAU